RNAcentral lists this ribosomal RNA (253 nucleotides) under uncultured bacterium. RNAcentral describes it as "partial 16S ribosomal RNA". It matches the Rfam family "Bacterial small subunit ribosomal RNA", at positions 524 to 776 of the family's 1533-position model. The record is from RNAcentral.
UACAGGGGGUGCAAACGUUGCUCGGAAUCAUUGGGCGUAAAGCGCACGUAGGCGGCUUGGCAAGUGGAAGGUGAAAUCCCUCGGCUUAACCGAGGAACUGCCCUCCAAACUGCUUUGCUUGAGGCCGGGAGAGGCGAGUGGAAUUCCCAGUGUAGCGGUGAAAUGCGUAGAUAUUGGGAGGAACACCAGUGGCGAAGGCGGCUCGCUGGACCGGUUCUGACGCUGAGGCGCGAAAGCGUGGGGAGCAAACGGG